GGGCUUUAAUUUCAUAAAGAUAGCACCUAUAUAAGCUUUGCUGGCUUGCCAGCUAUGGUGAUAAAUUGGCGUUGAAAUAAACCAUUCGGACCCGGGGGCGGUACCCGGCGCCUCCACCACCAACGGUUCGCAUCGUGUUCAAAGCACGGGAACUUUUGAUGAUGGGGGCGAAAUAGGAUCGACGAGGGCGUAAAGAGCGUACUUUCACUCGGCAUGAUACCGCCGUUAUCGGGUCAUUUGUAUAGUUGCAAACGACAACUACGCGGAAGCACGUCUCGCUGCUUAAUGCGGUGCGACAGCUUCACAUUAACUCCUAACGGUUCGCACUGUUAGGCGGGGUUCGCAGGCACCUGGCAACAGAAGCCUGCACU
This 371-nucleotide transfer-messenger RNA is filed under the name Ahrensia marina. RNAcentral describes it as "Alphaproteobacteria transfer-messenger RNA". It matches the Rfam family "Alphaproteobacteria transfer-messenger RNA". From Rfam's summary of the family: Bacterial tmRNA, also known as 10Sa RNA or SsrA, is named for its dual tRNA and mRNA-like properties. Its role is to liberate the mRNA from a stalled ribosome. Lineage: Bacteria; Pseudomonadati; Pseudomonadota; Alphaproteobacteria; Hyphomicrobiales; Ahrensiaceae. The record is from Rfam by way of RNAcentral.